GGAUGUGAAGGAGAUGUGACCUGACAUCUGUACCCCAUUGAUCAGGUUGAUUUGUCUGAUCUGGCUGGCUAGGCAGAUGUCCCCUUUCUUUUUCAGUGCUCCAAGUGUGGCCCUUCCAAAGUGUGCCCUGGUGGGAGAGGACAACCUUCCCUAAAGAGGAGGACCACUCCUCAGUCAAGGGUAUACCAGCAGCUAAGCUCCUCAGCUAUACUCUCCAAAUGAGCUCUCAAGAGAGAAUAAAAGCAAAGGGAGCCUGGACAGUCCGUAGCUAUAUCCAAUAGUCUCC
Molecule: small nuclear RNA, 286 nt
Filed under: Nannospalax galili (Upper Galilee mountains blind mole rat)
Lineage: Eukaryota; Metazoa; Chordata; Mammalia; Rodentia; Spalacidae
Description: 7SK RNA (ENSNGAG00000007785.1)
Rfam family: 7SK RNA
About the family: 7SK was discovered as an abundant small nuclear RNA in the mid-70s but a possible function has only recently been suggested. Two independent studies have found that 7SK RNA binds the CDK9/cyclin T complex (known as elongation factor P-TEFb).
Source: Rfam by way of RNAcentral